This 607-nucleotide long non-coding RNA is filed under the name Equus caballus (horse). RNAcentral's name for it is "lncRNA (ENSECAG00000054046.1)". Lineage: Eukaryota; Metazoa; Chordata; Mammalia; Perissodactyla; Equidae. The record is from RNAcentral.
ACUCACACGCAGGUGCUUGUGUGAGCGCACGUUCUCCUCCCCUCCUCCCGCCCCUCCUCCUCCUUCGCUUUCUCCUCCUCCUCCUUCUUCUUUUUUGGUUUUUUGGCCCUUAAUCCUUAUUUUAGGUUCCCCCUGGCCUGGGACCUGCCACUUAUGACCCACACAGGUCUGAAGUGUUCACCGUAACCUAUUAAUGUUGUCAAGUCAGUCUGUGAUGGAAUUCAUAUAGAUAGCAAAUUCCGUCUUCACACUCCCUGAAGCAAUGGCUGCUCUGAAGUUUUUCACCACAAAUUAUUUUUGCCUGUUCUAGAAAGUCAUAUAAGUGCAAACAUAUGAAAUUAACUAGAGAAUUUUCACCAAAAUGGAAGUGUAAACUAGGAUGAUGUCAAGGGAUUCUGGAAACAAAGCUUCCAACAUUGAUAAGGGGCCAACGGAAUUCCCAGGAUGAAGGUGGUAGAGAACCAAUGGAUCACAGACACAUGUGCUGGGAGCCUGGCGAGCAGCCAGUCUGGAUAAAGGCUAAAUGCAAGGCUUCAGAGUGAUUGCUCCGAGAAAGACAAGAGGAGAUGCGGAGAUUACCUGAUGUGUUUGAAUCUGGUGAAGGGAA